This 1319-nucleotide long non-coding RNA is filed under the name Mus musculus (house mouse). RNAcentral describes it as "predicted gene 13219, transcript variant 3 (Gm13219)". The record is from RNAcentral. Lineage: Eukaryota; Metazoa; Chordata; Mammalia; Rodentia; Muridae.
ACUCCUGGCGACAUCUCGACAGAUUGACACUGCUACCCCCCACCUCCCAAAAUCCCUGCAAGGCUUCUCAUUUCAAAUGUGACCAUGCUCCAACACAAUGUUGGCAAGCCUAGUCUCGUGUUGGAGGAGGGGGAGGGGACUAUAAAAGCAACAUGUUCGCACAAGCAUGGCAGAGCCCAUGCAUAAACCAUUUGGUUUUGCAAUUAAAAACAGGUUUGGCUUCCCUCUGCAUCAGUAAGACAACGUCAAAGCAACAUUCGUCCUGAAAAUUUUCCCUUGUGAAUUCAAAUGAACUGGGAAACUAGAACAACGGAUCAACUUUGGUCUCUCAAAGUCUCUUCCAAAGGAUCUGCAGAGAUCCCUUUCUGCUGUACCAACACCAUGGACAAAAGCUUCAAUUUAAGUGGAGUAUGCAAAUUCAACGAGGCUAGCUGGCCACUGAACAUCAUGGACACUCCUGUUUCUGUCUCCCCAACAACAGGAUGACAAAGACAUCAACAUGUCUGGCUCGGUUUCUUUUUUAACAUGAGUUCUGGAGUGCAAGCUCUGGUCCUCAUACUUGUACAGUAAGGACUUUCCAGACUGAGCUAACUCCAGCUGAAGUUUCUUCAGGCUGGGGAGAAAGCUCCGAAAGAAAAGCACUUGCCACCUGUGGAACUGUGAGGACCAGAGUUCAGAUUCCCAGAACUCACAUAAAAAGCAGGGGUGAAGGGAUGAUCCUAACACUGAGGAGCAGCAAUGGGGAUCCUGGGAACAAGCAAGCCAGGCAGACUAGCUCCAGAGUCAGCAAGAGACCUUGUCUCAGUGCAUAAUGAAUGAGUAACUGAGGAAGACACCUGACUGACAUCAAUCUUGGAACUUUCUACUGACACCCGUGUGUCAGCACAUACACACGUAAUCGCAUACAUGUGAACACACACAUACAGGCACGAUAGAGAAGUUUCCUAAUCUAUUUGAACUCAGCUGUUCAGCUAAAACAGAAGGGACCUGUCUCACACAGUUUUGAUGACUGAUCAGUCAAUACAUUAAUUCUUACUGCAAUAACUAAACUAAUAUUGUUGCAAUUUAUGUCCUACAGAGAGCUUUUAGUUAAUACCCUAAUAUGGUACUUGAAGCUGAAAAGUUUCUGGGUAUCUGUGGUCCUAUGAGAUUAAUAUCGGGAGAGUAAUUUUGUUUUCUAUAAUAUGUUCAAAAGGCUAUGAGUUUGAUCAUAUCCAAUGUUAUUAAUCUGAUGAUGACUAACUACCUUUCAGUAAAAACUGAUAUGUUUAUGAAAUAUGGUAUUUAAAUAAUAAAGGAAGCUAAGGAGUAAAAAACAA